CCUGCGUGUGCAGGUCGGGAUGUGAGGCGGCGACCACGCCGCCUUGAACCACACA
RNAcentral lists this non-coding RNA (55 nucleotides) under unclassified sequences. RNAcentral's name for it is "eL15-Euryarchaeota ribosomal protein leader". It matches the Rfam family "eL15-Euryarchaeota ribosomal protein leader". The record is from RNAcentral.